AGAGAGAGACAUGCGCGCAUAUCAAUAAGCGGAGGAAAAGAAACUAACAAGGAUUCCCUAGUAACGGCGAGUGAAGCGGGAAGAGCUCAAAUUUGAAAUCUUAAAGGUUUCUACCUUGACGAAUUGUAGUUUAUAGAAGUGUUUUCUGUUAGGGAGUUCGGUAAAAGUUCUUUGGAAUAGGACAUCAUAGAGGGUGAGAAUCCCGUAUUUGGUCAUUCCUCCUAGCGUUGUGAUACACUUUCAACGAGUCGGAUUGUUUGGGAAUGCAGUCCAAAAUGGGUGGUAAAUUUCAUCUAAAGCUAAAUAUUGGCGAGAGACCGAUAGCGAACAAGUACCGUGAGGGAAAGAUGAAAAGAACUUUGAAAAGAGAGUUAAACAGUACGUGAAAUUGUCAAAAGGGAAGCGUUUGACACCAGUGUUGUUUUUCCGAAAAUCAAUUACGAAUGUUUUAUUUUUGAGAGAGUUAUGACUUCAUCGGCUUGCUUCCUUUCUUUAUCGAAACUUUCUUAAUGCACUUUUCGGUUAACAAGUCAACAUCAAUUUCUUUUGUUGUAAAAGGGUAUGAGGAAGGUGGCUUUCUUUUCGGAGAAAGUGUUUAUAGCCUUGUGCCUCUGCAAUCGGAGAGAUUGAGGUCUGCAGCGUAGAUCCUUCGGGGUUAGAUACGUUUGUGCUAAGUUAUAGCUUUUCAUAGACAACUUGUUGACUAUGUUUAGUCUUGUAGCUUACUCGCUGAUGCUAUUUUACCUACGCUUAGGAUGUUGAUAGUCACAGCGUGUAC
This 778-nucleotide ribosomal RNA is filed under the name uncultured Neocallimastigales. RNAcentral describes it as "partial large subunit ribosomal RNA". It matches the Rfam family "Eukaryotic large subunit ribosomal RNA", at positions 23 to 644 of the family's 3401-position model. Lineage: Eukaryota; Fungi; Neocallimastigomycota; Neocallimastigomycetes; Neocallimastigales. The record is from RNAcentral.